AUGCACAAACCAUGGCUGCAGAUCUGUUUCCGUUUCCCUUCUUCGGGUGCAAAGAAGUCCUGUGAAGUUGUUUUCUCGGUUCUGCGUGAUAUCCUUGCUGCAAAAGAUAUCCUUGCUAGAAAUGCAAUCAAUUUCUAUAAGAUUAACUUUUCUAACAGUGUUGUUAGUACACAUAAUAUUUUACCCCUAAAUGUGAUUGAUGAGUUAGAGAGUGAUGUUUCAUUUGUUCGGAUAAUUGGGUUGAUAAUUCAGGACUGCAAAGAUGCCGCGUAA
Non-coding RNA from Vicia faba (fava bean), 273 nucleotides. The record is from the annotation of a GenBank genome assembly. NCBI's taxonomy places the organism in Eukaryota, Viridiplantae, Streptophyta, Magnoliopsida, Fabales, Fabaceae.